This is a long non-coding RNA of Gadus morhua (Atlantic cod), 169 nucleotides long. RefSeq lists it as uncharacterized. The record is from RefSeq and is a predicted model, not a curated record. NCBI's taxonomy places the organism in Eukaryota, Metazoa, Chordata, Actinopteri, Gadiformes, Gadidae. The transcript is spliced from 3 exons.
GGACGACUAGGAAUCGACCAACAAGGAUUCCUCGCAAAACGUGUCUCUGGAGCGGAGACGUUGGGGCCAGAUUUGAGCUGUUUGUUCCAGACCAGGACACUGCCUGAGGAGAGCUGAUGGAGGAGCCAAGACUCUGGAGGACGACAUCACUCCACCAACAAGGAUCCUC